CUGGGGAUGAGAAGAUUUAGCCAUGGGUGCGGAACAUCCCACAUUCCUUUCGAUCGUAGUUUUAACUCUGAGAUAUCAAAAGCUCCUGGUCUCGGGAAAAUGUGGAGAAAUCUGAGUAGAGCACCCUGAUCCAUUUGACCUGGGAGAUUCUUGCUUUGGUUAUUAUCCCGAAUUGCCCAAGUCCUCCAAGAACACUGUGAAAGAGCUCAUGAGACUAGGAGAAGUGGUAAGUUGCGUCUGUAGUUACCCGCUACUAGAAAAUAAGAUGGGACAAAUGAAAAGCCACCACCUAUGCGGUCUUCUUAAUUAACCUUUUGACCCCGUCUUUUGUUCUACAAACUAUAGCAUCAAAAGGUUCUUGUUUUCCCAUACAAACCUGU
This is a long non-coding RNA of Coffea arabica (coffee), 380 nucleotides long. RefSeq lists it as uncharacterized. Lineage: Eukaryota; Viridiplantae; Streptophyta; Magnoliopsida; Gentianales; Rubiaceae. The record is from RefSeq and is a predicted model, not a curated record.